RNAcentral lists this ribosomal RNA (307 nucleotides) under uncultured Alphaproteobacteria bacterium. RNAcentral describes it as "bacterial SSU rRNA". It matches the Rfam family "Bacterial small subunit ribosomal RNA", at positions 20 to 353 of the family's 1533-position model. Lineage: Bacteria; Pseudomonadati; Pseudomonadota; Alphaproteobacteria. The record is from RNAcentral.
UGGCUCAGAACGAACGCUGGCGGCAGGCCUCAAACAUGCAAGUCUAGCGGGCGUAGCAAUACGUCAGCGGCAGACGGGAGAGUAACACGUGGGAACGUGCCCUUCGGUUCGGAAUAACGCAGGGAAACUUGCGCUAAUACCGGAUACGCCCUUACGGGGAAAGAUUUAUUGCCGAAGGAGCGGCCCGCGUCUGAUUAGCUAGUUGGUGAGGUAACGGCUCACCAAGGCGAGGAUCAGUAGCUGGUCUGAGAGGAUGACCAGCCUCACUGGGACUGAUUCACGGCCCAGAGACCUACGGGAGGCAGCA